RNAcentral lists this ribosomal RNA (311 nucleotides) under uncultured eukaryote. RNAcentral describes it as "partial 18S ribosomal RNA". It matches the Rfam family "Eukaryotic small subunit ribosomal RNA", at positions 1470 to 1796 of the family's 1831-position model. The record is from RNAcentral.
CCCCUAGACGUUCUGGGCUGCACGCGCGCCACAAUAAUACGCACAGCGAGUAUCACCGAGCUCGAAAGGGCAAGGUAAACAAUAGAAAAGGUACUGUAAUGGUUAUAGAUCCUUGUAAUUAUUGAUCUUCAACGAGGAAUUCCUAGUAAGUAUGUGUCAUCAUCACGCACUGAUUACGUCCCUGCCCUUUGUACACACCGCCCGUCGCUCCUACCGAUUGGGUGAGCCGAUGAAACUCUCGGAUGUAGGCUAUUCAUAGCCCGCAGAAGAGAUUUGAAUCGUAGCGCUUAGAGGAAGGAGAAGUCGUAACA